RNAcentral lists this ribosomal RNA (530 nucleotides) under uncultured Fusarium. RNAcentral's name for it is "eukaryotic LSU rRNA". The stretch from base 164 to 317 matches the Rfam family "5.8S ribosomal RNA". The record is from RNAcentral. Lineage: Eukaryota; Fungi; Ascomycota; Sordariomycetes; Hypocreales; Nectriaceae.
GCGGAGGGAUCAUUACCGAGUUUACAACUCCCAAACCCCUGUGAACAUACCACUUGUUGCCUCGGCGGAUCAGCCCGCUCCCGGUAAAACGGGACGGCCCGCCAGAGGACCCCUAAACUCUGUUUCUAUAUGUAACUUCUGAGUAAAACCAUAAAUAAAUCAAAACUUUCAACAACGGAUCUCUUGGUUCUGGCAUCGAUGAAGAACGCAGCAAAAUGCGAUAAGUAAUGUGAAUUGCAGAAUUCAGUGAAUCAUCGAAUCUUUGAACGCACAUUGCGCCCGCCAGUAUUCUGGCGGGCAUGCCUGUUCGAGCGUCAUUUCAACCCUCAAGCACAGCUUGGUGUUGGGACUCGCGUUAAUUCGCGUUCCUCAAAUUGAUUGGCGGUCACGUCGAGCUUCCAUAGCGUAGUAGUAAAACCCUCGUUACUGGUAAUCGUCGCGGCCACGCCGUUAAACCCCAACUUCUGAAUGUUGACCUCGGAUCAGGUAGGAAUACCCGCUGAACUUAAGCAUAUCAAUAAGCGGAGGAA